CAUGUGGUUUAAUUCGAAGCAACGCGAAGAACCUUACCAGGCCUUGACAUGCAGAGAACUUUCCAGAGAUGGAUUGGUGCCUUCGGGAGCUCUGACACAGGUGUUUGCAUGGCUGUCGUCAGCUCGUGUCGUGAGAUGUUCGGUUAAGUCCGCUAACGAGCGCAACCCUCGUCGUAUGUUAUAUGUGUCAUACGAGACUGCCGGUAAAAAGCCGGAGGAAGGUGAGGAUGAUGUCAAGUCAGCAUGACCUUUAUAUCCAGGGCUACACACACGCUACAAUGGUCUGUACAAUGGGUAGCCAAGCCGCGAGGCGGAGCCAAUCCUGAAAGCAGGCCUCAGUUCAGAUUGCAGUCUGCGACUCGACUGCAUGAAGCCGGAGUUGCUAGUAGCCGCAGGUCAGCAAUACUGCGGUGAAUACGUUCCCGGGUCUU
This 431-nucleotide ribosomal RNA is filed under the name uncultured Anaerolineaceae bacterium. RNAcentral's name for it is "bacterial SSU rRNA". It matches the Rfam family "Bacterial small subunit ribosomal RNA", at positions 938 to 1382 of the family's 1533-position model. Lineage: Bacteria; Bacillati; Chloroflexota; Anaerolineae; Anaerolineales; Anaerolineaceae. The record is from RNAcentral.